Small nucleolar RNA from Gossypium arboreum, 107 nucleotides. It matches the Rfam family "Plant small nucleolar RNA R71". From Rfam's summary of the family: R71 is a member of the C/D box family of snoRNAs containing the C (UGAUGA) and D (CUGA) box motifs. Multiple nearly identical copies of this snoRNA have been identified in Arabidopsis, and it is thought to function as a 2'-O-ribose methylation guide for 18S ribosomal RNA. The record is from Rfam. Lineage: Eukaryota; Viridiplantae; Streptophyta; Magnoliopsida; Malvales; Malvaceae.
AACCCAUGGUGAGGGCACCUCCUCAAUAGAUUCUUGUAUCUCUGCCAUGCAUCAUAUAAAGUCUCCAAAUCGAUCUGCACAAAGGAAGAGAUACCAUUCCUCAAAUU